RNAcentral lists this transfer RNA (72 nucleotides) under Ovis aries (sheep). It matches the Rfam family "tRNA". From Rfam's summary of the family: Transfer RNA (tRNA) molecules are approximately 80 nucleotides in length. Their secondary structure includes four short double-helical elements and three loops (D, anti-codon, and T loops). The record is from Rfam by way of RNAcentral. Lineage: Eukaryota; Metazoa; Chordata; Mammalia; Artiodactyla; Bovidae.
UCCCUAGUGGCUCAGAUGGUAAAGCAUCUGUCUACAAUGCAGGAGACCCGGGUUUGAUCCCUGGGUUGGGAA